Solanum tuberosum (potato) is the source of this 115-nucleotide non-coding RNA. The record is from Rfam. Lineage: Eukaryota; Viridiplantae; Streptophyta; Magnoliopsida; Solanales; Solanaceae.
GGACGCGAUCAUACCAGCACUAACACACUGGAUCCCAUCAGAACUCCGAAGUUAAGCUUGCUUGGGCGAGAGUAGUACUAGGAUGUAAUUGAAAAAAAAUUAUUAUUUAUUUUUU